Rattus norvegicus (Norway rat) is the source of this 208-nucleotide small nucleolar RNA. Ensembl annotates it as small nucleolar RNA U3. The record is from Ensembl. Lineage: Eukaryota; Metazoa; Chordata; Mammalia; Rodentia; Muridae.
AAGAACUAUACUUUCAGAGAACAUCUCUGAACUUCAUUACUAGAAAAACUUCUGUGAACAUGUAGAGUGCCUAAAACCAGGAGGCUGAGACAUGGUGUUCUCUCCUGAGCACAAAACAAGCUCUUUCUAUACCUAUGCUGCCACAGCCUUCUGCCAUUGAUGCUCUUUCUCCUUUCCCCGUGGGAGAGCUAAAGAAAACAUGAUAUGA